This 141-nucleotide ribosomal RNA is filed under the name uncultured eukaryote. RNAcentral's name for it is "partial 18S ribosomal RNA". It matches the Rfam family "Eukaryotic small subunit ribosomal RNA", at positions 1299 to 1458 of the family's 1831-position model. The record is from RNAcentral.
UGGUGGAGUGAUUUGUCUGGUUAAUUCCGUUAACGAACGAGACCUCGACCUGCUAAAUAGUUUGGUGAACUCUUCGGGUUCAGACAAACUUCUUAGAGGGACUAUCGCGCGUGUAGCCGAUGGAAGUUCGAGGCAAUAACA